This 492-nucleotide ribosomal RNA is filed under the name uncultured bacterium. RNAcentral's name for it is "partial 16S ribosomal RNA". It matches the Rfam family "Bacterial small subunit ribosomal RNA", at positions 29 to 507 of the family's 1533-position model. The record is from RNAcentral.
AGUGAACGCUGGCGGUAGGCCUAACACAUGCAAGUCGAACGGCAGCACAGUAAGAGCUUGCUCUUACGGGUGGCGAGUGGCGGACGGGUGAGGAAUACAUCGGACUCUACUUUUUCGUGGGGGAUAACGUAGGGAAACUUACGCUAAUACCGCAUACGACCUACGGGUGAAAGCAGGGGAUCUUCGGACCUUGCGCGAUUGAAUGAGCCGAUGUCGGAUUAGCUAGUUGGCGGGGUAAAGGCCCACCAAGGCGACGAUCCGUAGCUGGUCUGAGAGGAUGAUCAGCCACACUGGAACUGAGACACGGUCCAGACUCCUACGGGAGGCAGCAGUGGGGAAUAUUGGACAAUGGGCGCAAGCCUGAUCCAGCCAUACCACGUGGGUGAAGAAGGCCUUCGGGUUGUAAAGCCCUUUUGUUGGGAAAGAAAAGCAGCAGGUUAAUACCCCGCUGUUCUGACGGUACCCAAAGAAUAAGCACCGGCUAACUUCGUG